This 246-nucleotide ribosomal RNA is filed under the name uncultured bacterium. RNAcentral describes it as "partial 16S ribosomal RNA". It matches the Rfam family "Bacterial small subunit ribosomal RNA", at positions 796 to 1041 of the family's 1533-position model. The record is from RNAcentral.
CACGCCGUAAACGAUGAAUGCCAGUCGUCGGUGCGCAUGCGUAUCGGUGACACACCUAACGGAUUAAGCAUUCCGCCUGGGGAGUACGGUCGCAAGAUUAAAACUCAAAGGAAUUGACGGGGGCCCGCACAAGCGGAGGAACAUGUGGUUUAAUUCGAUGAUACGCGAGGAACCUUACCCGGGCUCGAACGGUGCAGGAAUACAGGAGAGAUUCUGUAGCAUAGCAAUAUGUCUGCAUCGAGGUGC